CCCUUAGAUGUUCUGGGCCGCACGCGCGCUACACUGAUGCGUUCAACAAGUUUCCUUGGCCGAGAGGCCUGGGCAAUCUUCUUAAUAUGUAUCGUGAUAGGGAUAGAUUAUUGCAAUUAUUAAUCUUUAACGAGGAAUUCCUAGUAAACGCAGAUCAUCAAUCUGCAUUGAUUACGUCCCUGCCCUUUGUACACACCGCCCGUCGCACCUACCGAUUGGAUGUUCCGGUGAAGCCUCGGGAUGAGGACUGGUGCCUUUAUUGGCAUGAGUUGUUCAGAACUUGUCUAAACCUUAUCAUCUAGAGGAAGGUGAAGUCGUAACA
Molecule: ribosomal RNA, 322 nt
Filed under: uncultured eukaryote
Lineage: Eukaryota
Description: partial 18S ribosomal RNA
Rfam family: Eukaryotic small subunit ribosomal RNA
Source: RNAcentral